Heterocephalus glaber (naked mole-rat) is the source of this 1023-nucleotide long non-coding RNA. RefSeq lists it as uncharacterized. NCBI's taxonomy places the organism in Eukaryota, Metazoa, Chordata, Mammalia, Rodentia, Bathyergidae. The record is from RefSeq and is a predicted model, not a curated record.
CGGAGGGAGAGGAAUCACCAGCGUCACCCAGAAGAAAUGGGAAAGCAACGCCCAUUGUGACCAGCCCUUUCCCUUUGAGACCUGCAAGUAAGGCCUUCCUCCAACCUGCUCUAGAGCCCUGCCUGGAAAACUUCAAUCAUCAUUGAACUUGUAAUUCAGAGUACAAGGGAACAAAGACCUUUUUUUUUUGCCUCUGUAGUCUCAACUGUUCUAACCAAAGCAAGUUAAAAUACUUGCAACCACACGCCCUUAUUCUGAAAAAGAGCAAGGGAUGUAUACCACUCAUUAUGAAAAUACUAUAUACACCUGAAAAUCAGCUCAGCUUCCAGGCAGGGAGGGGUUAGAGCAAGAAACACGUGGGGUGUGUGGAAUUUCAUCCAACCCCCGUGGACCUGAUUUUGUGUUUACUGACAGGAGUUCGGAGAGGGUGAGAGCAGGGAUACAGAGGCCCUUGGGGCAGCUCCAUGACGUCCCAGAAUGUCCUCUGUGUAUGUCCAGGUUGUAGCAUGGGCCAGAAUUUCCUUCCUGCCAUGGCUGAGUAAUACUCCACCAUCUGUGUACUGAAUGAGAAUAGUCCUCCUGACCCGAGCCAGAGCACUCCAUCUUACAGCGGCCACCUCCAGGUGUGGGUGGCAGGGCAGUACCCUGGAAAACCAGUAGCCUAGAACAGGGGUUGGUGACUUCAGCAGUGCAGCAGCCCACAAGUUGUCCACUCCUCUACAGAAGCCCUGAAAAUGCUCACCUCACAGGACUUGUCCGCGAUGUUCUUUGCUCUGUUGGCCCCUCUUGGCUUGCAGGCAGAUGUUUCCCCUAGGUCUCUCCAGGAAAUGCAUGCAACAGAGAUACGUAUCCAGAAGUAGAACUGCCAGAUCUUGUGGGAAGUCUAUGCUUAAUUUUUUUGGUGAUCCAUCAUUUUCCAUAUCCACCAGUGAUGCACAAAAGCUUCAGCUUCUCCACAUCCUUGCUCUUGCUAGUUAUUUUCUGUUUUUGAAAAAUAGCAGCAGGCCAACCCACUCUCCGGUC